This 460-nucleotide ribosomal RNA is filed under the name uncultured bacterium. RNAcentral's name for it is "partial 16S ribosomal RNA". It matches the Rfam family "Bacterial small subunit ribosomal RNA", at positions 338 to 795 of the family's 1533-position model. The record is from RNAcentral.
CCUACGGGAGGCAGCAGUGAGGAAUAUUGGUCAAUGGACGAGAGUCUGAACCAGCCAAGUAGCGUGAAGGAUGACUGCCCUAUGGGUUGUAAACUUCUUUUAUAUGGGAAUAAAACAGGGUAUGCAUACCCUCUUGUAUGUACCAUAUGAAUAAGGAUCGGCAAACUCCGUGCCAGCAGCCGCGGUAAUACGGAGGAUCCGAGCGUUACCCGGAUUUAGUGGGUUUAAAGGGAGCGUAGGUGGAUUGUUAAGUCAGUUGUGAAAGUUUGCGGCUCAACCGUAAAAGUGCAGUUGAAACUGGCAGACUUGAGUACAGGAGAGGUGAGCGGAAUUCGUGGUGUAGCGGUGAAAUGCUUAGAUAUCUCGAAGAACUCCGAUUGCGAAGGCAGCUCACUGGACUGCAACUGACACUGAGGCUCGAAAGUGUGGGUAUCAAACAGGAUUAGAUACCCUUGUAGUC